This 366-nucleotide unclassified non-coding RNA is filed under the name fungal sp. Its description in RNAcentral is "partial internal transcribed spacer region". The stretch from base 1 to 46 matches the Rfam family "Eukaryotic small subunit ribosomal RNA", at positions 1786 to 1831 of the family's 1831-position model. The record is from RNAcentral. Lineage: Eukaryota; Fungi.
AAGUCGUAACAAGGUUUCCGUAGGUGAACCUGCGGAAGGAUCAUUAUCACGUAUCCACGUAUCAACCAUUGUGCACUGUUUCACCCUCUGGAGUUUUUAAAACGAGAUAGCGCUUGUAGCUUCAGGCAUUUAAUUGGGCUCUUUUGUAAUGUAGUUUUAUGAGCCUCGUCUGACUACUCAUGCCUUCCCGGACCGGACGCGGUUUGGGUGCUCGUCUCCUUAGGAGUAUUUGAUAAACCGCAUUGUUUUUUAUUAACCUUUUUUAAAACUAUCUGAACUGACCGUCUUUUACUCUUCUUUAACCGGAGGAGACUAGACACCUUAUUAAAUUAUGAACGACUCUUAGCAACGGAUAUCUUGGUUCUC